This 1132-nucleotide long non-coding RNA is filed under the name Callithrix jacchus (white-tufted-ear marmoset). RNAcentral describes it as "lncRNA (ENSCJAG00000070804.1)". The record is from RNAcentral. Lineage: Eukaryota; Metazoa; Chordata; Mammalia; Primates; Cebidae.
CCUCGAUGUUCUCACAUAUAGAUUAUCUAUAGGUGUGUGUGUGUGUGUAUAUAUCUCACAGUGUACACACAUGUCACAGCAGCAUGCUGUACACCACUAAUAUAUACAAUUUUUAUUUGUCAGUGAUACCUUCAUGAAGCUGGGGGAUGGGGAAUGGGAUUCUUUUGCUUCCAGUUUCAGCCCCGGCCUCAAGAUAGUGAGUGUCAGCUACAACCACAUUCCAUGCAAGAUGCAGGGCCUAUGAGGGACUUUGGAGGGAAGUGGUAAAAAGUCAAUUCCACCACUCCUGCCCCCUGUCAACCUUCUUAGCAAAAGCUACAAAUUCAGAUUUACCCUGAGGCCCGCACAAACUGCAGGAGGAGAAAUGUGAUGAAGUCAGUGCUUUCUCAUGUGGGACCAGGCACCUUCAUGUCUGAAGCAAGGUCUUACUACUUCAAGAAGUGACCGGAGGACUUGUGUAAUUCAGGAGUGACUGUAAAAGUUAUGAGGACUGGCAGAAGAUUUCAUCCACGGUGGCGGGAGAGAGAUAGCUCACGAAGCAGAUGGAGAGGCGCGCAGGUAUCACAGGGCACGCAGCUCAUUCCUCCUGGGAGUCUGUUCCUUAAAUAGCAGGCACUGGUCUAAGCCCUUUAUAAAUCUGAGUGUGAUUAAUCCUCUUACCAGUGCAGUGAGAUUUUAUUAUUAUUUCCAUUUUACUGAUAAGGAAACCUAGACAAGUAUAACGGAGUUUGGGGCGGUCACCGAGAUUACACAUCUGGUGUGACACCAUGAUGACAUCUGAGCUCAUACACUCCGGCUAUACGGCUACCACAGAGAGGACACAAUAUUCCAGAAUCCUGCAGGAAAGACUCCGCCAUCCUCUGCAGCUGCUCCCACCACAGUGCUCCCCACCACUGGAAAAGAUACCCUCACUGACUGGGGUGUUGGGCUAGCAGACACAUCAUCAAGCUGGGUGAGGCCAGAGGACUUUCCUAGAAAAGGGAAUAUUCUGGCCGGGCGCGGUGGCUCAAGCCUGUAAUCCCAGCACUUUGGGAGGCCCAGGCGGGUGGAUCACGAGGUCAAGAGAUCGAGACCAUCCUGGUCAACAUGGUGAAACCCCGUCUCUACUAAAAAUACAAAAAAUUAGCUGGGC